RNAcentral lists this ribosomal RNA (372 nucleotides) under uncultured bacterium. Its description in RNAcentral is "bacterial SSU rRNA". It matches the Rfam family "Bacterial small subunit ribosomal RNA", at positions 524 to 898 of the family's 1533-position model. The record is from RNAcentral.
UACGGAGGGUGCAAGCGUUAUCCGGAUUUACUGGGUUUAAAGGGUGCGUAGGUGGGCAGGUAAGUCAGUGGUGAAAUCUUCAAGCUUAACUUGGAAACUGCCAUUGAUACUAUUUGUCUUGAAUUAUCUGGAGGUAAGCGGAAUAUGUCAUGUAGCGGUGAAAUGCUUAGAUAUGACAUAGAACACCCAUUGCGAAGGCAGCUUACUACGGAUAUAUUGACACUGAGGCACGAAAGCGUGGGGAUCAAACAGGAUUAGAUACCCUGGUAGUCCACGCCCUAAACGAUGGAUACUCGACAUCAGCGAUACACAGUUGGUGUCUGAGCGAAAGCAUUAAGUAUCCCACCUGGGAAGUACGACCGCAAGGUUGAA